This 423-nucleotide ribosomal RNA is filed under the name uncultured bacterium. RNAcentral describes it as "bacterial SSU rRNA". It matches the Rfam family "Bacterial small subunit ribosomal RNA", at positions 207 to 622 of the family's 1533-position model. The record is from RNAcentral.
AAGACCUUGCGCUUUUGGAGCGGCCGAUGCCUGAUUAGCUUGUUGGUAAGGUAAAAGCUUACCAAGGCUUCGAUCAGUAGCUGGUCUGAGAGGACGACCAGCCACACUGGGACUGAGACACGGCCCAGACUCCUACGGGAGGCAGCAGUGGGGAAUUUUGGACAAUGGGGGCAACCCUGAUCCAGCCAUGCCGCGUGAGUGAAGAAGGCCUUCGGGUUGUAAAGCUCUUUCAGCCGGAACGAAACGGUUACGGUUAACACCCGCGACUACUGACGGUACCGGAAGAAGAAGCACCGGCUAACUACGUGCCAGCAGCCGCGGUAAUACGUAGGGUGCGAGCGUUAAUCGGAAUUACUGGGCGUAAAGCGUGCGCAGGUGGUUUUGUAAGUCAGAUGUGAAAGCCCCGGGCUCAACCUGGGAACU